UACGGGGGGUGCGAGCGUUAAUCGGAAUAAUUGGGCUUAAAGGGCACGCAGGCGGGCUUUUAAGUGAGGUGUGAAAUCCCCGGGCUUAACCUGGGAAUUGCAUUUGAUACUGGGAGUCUAGAGUAAUUUAGGGAGGGGUAGAAUUCCACGUGUAGCGGUGAAAUGCGUAGAGAUUUGGAGGAAUACCGAAGGCGAAGGCAGCCCCUUGGGAAUGUACUGACGCUCAUGUGCGAAAGCGUGGGGAGCAAACAGG
This 253-nucleotide ribosomal RNA is filed under the name uncultured bacterium. RNAcentral's name for it is "partial 16S ribosomal RNA". It matches the Rfam family "Bacterial small subunit ribosomal RNA", at positions 524 to 776 of the family's 1533-position model. The record is from RNAcentral.